AUGUAUUCCUUUCAAUCCUUGCUCCUUCUGCUCCUGCUUUUCUCCUUCAUUCUCUGGCUUUCGCAAAUCGAAUCAGCCGCGAUAUGUAUACUGCAGUUCUUAUGGCAAUCCCGUAUAGUUACAGAAAUGGGAGGAGAGGAAAGAUUCAUAGGAAAUAAUAUGAAAGUAAGGUUGAAGAAGCGUUAUGGAUUAUAG
Molecule: non-coding RNA, 195 nt
Organism: Vicia faba (fava bean)
Lineage: Eukaryota; Viridiplantae; Streptophyta; Magnoliopsida; Fabales; Fabaceae
Source: the annotation of a GenBank genome assembly